ACACACACACCCGCGCAGCCACAUAGAGAGGGAGGAAGGAGAGCGGCCCGGUGCGCGCGCGCAGAGAGAGAACCCGAGACAGAGAGGGAGAGGGAGAGAAGAGAGGGAGAGCCAACCACCGCCAAGUCAAGAUUCAGCGAUUCCACCGCAAUCGCCCUAAUGACAACAGCCUCAUAAUAUCUCCCCUAAAUCCACAAAUUCAGCUGCCUCUCUGAGGAGUGGUGGAGGAGCUGCGGGAGCCGAGAAGCCCAAGAGCCCUCUGGACCCGGAAAAGUCCCACAGAUGCCCACUCCUCACCACACAACAGAAGGAGCUCUGGUCCUGCCUGCCAGCCCCAGAGGGCACUCAAACUUUGGAGGCUAGCCACCUGGAUGAAGUGAAUAAAGCCUGAAAAUUGCUUGUUU
This is a long non-coding RNA of Symphalangus syndactylus (siamang), 404 nucleotides long. RefSeq lists it as uncharacterized. The record is from RefSeq and is a predicted model, not a curated record. NCBI's taxonomy places the organism in Eukaryota, Metazoa, Chordata, Mammalia, Primates, Hylobatidae.